This 533-nucleotide ribosomal RNA is filed under the name uncultured bacterium. RNAcentral's name for it is "bacterial SSU rRNA". It matches the Rfam family "Bacterial small subunit ribosomal RNA", at positions 359 to 917 of the family's 1533-position model. The record is from RNAcentral.
UAAGGGGGGCGGGGGCCUGAUCUAGCCAUGCCGCGUGUGUGAUGAAGGUCUUAGGAUCGUAAAGCACUUUCGCCAGGGAUGAUAAUGACAGUACCUGGUAAAGAAACCCCGGCUAACUCCGUGCCAGCAGCCGCGGUAAUACGGAGGGGGUUAGCGUUGUUCGGAAUUACUGGGCGUAAAGCGUACGUAGGCGGAUUGGAAAGUUGGGGGUGAAAUCCCAGGGCUCAACCCUGGAACUGCCUCCAAAACUAUCAGUCUAGAGUUCGAGAGAGGUGAGUGGAAUUCCAAGUGUAGAGGUGAAAUUCGUAGAUAUUUGGAGGAACACCAGUGGCGAAGGCGGCUCACUGGCUCGAUACUGACGCUGAGGUACGAAAGUGUGGGGAGCAAACAGGAUUAGAUACCCUGGUAGUCCACACCGUAAACGAUGAAUGCCAGUCGUCGGGCAGUAUACUGUUCGGUGACACACCUAACGGAUUAAGCAUUCCGCCUGGGGAGUACGGUCGCAAGAUUAAAACUCAAACAAAUUUGACGGA